RNAcentral lists this transfer RNA (90 nucleotides) under Xylaria grammica. RNAcentral describes it as "tRNA-Pro". It matches the Rfam family "tRNA". From Rfam's summary of the family: Transfer RNA (tRNA) molecules are approximately 80 nucleotides in length. Their secondary structure includes four short double-helical elements and three loops (D, anti-codon, and T loops). Lineage: Eukaryota; Fungi; Ascomycota; Sordariomycetes; Xylariales; Xylariaceae. The record is from RNAcentral.
GGUUUGGUGGUCUAGUGGUAUGAUUCUCGCUUAGGGUACACCCGAAAGCAAAUAUGCGAGAGGUCCCGGGUUCAAUCCCCGGCCAAACCC